GUAAAGGGCGCGUAGGCGGGUUUAUAAGUCAAAUGUGAAAUUCCGGAGCUCAACUUCGGAGCUGCAUUUGAAACUGUAAGUCUAUAGAGGGAUGGCGGAGAAAAUGGAAUUCCACGUGUAGCGGUGAAAUGCGUAGAUAUGUGGAAGAACACCAGUGGCGAAAGCGGUUUUCUAGCUAUUACCUGACGCUGAGGCGCGAGAGCAUGGGGAGCAAACAGGAUUAGAUACCCUGGUAGUCCAUGCCGUAAACGUUGUAUACUUGAUGUAGCUGGGCUCAACCCCGGCUGUGUCGAAGCUAACGCGAUAAGUAUACCGCCUGAGGAGUACGCUCGCAAGGGUGAAACUCAAAAGAAUUGACGGGGGCCCGCACAAGCAGUGGAGCAUGUGGUUUAAUUCGAUGCAACGCGAAGAACCUUACCCAGAUUUGAAAUACAGAGGACGAUAGCAGAAAUGUUAUUUCCCGCAAGGGUCUCUGAACAGGUGCUGCAUGGCUGUCGUCAGCUCGUGCCGUGAGGUGUUGGGUUAAGUCCCGCAACGAGCGCAACCCUUAUCAUUAGUUGCCAGCACGUAAUGGUGGGAACUCUAGUGAGACUGCCUGGGUUAACCAGGAGGAAGGUGAGGAUGACGUCAAGUCCGCAUGGCCUUUAUAUCUGGGGCUACACACGUGCUACAAUGGUCGGUACAGAAGGCAGCAAGACCGCAAGGUGGAGCAAAUCCGUAAAACCGAUCUCAGUUCAGAUUGUAGUCUGCAACUCGACUACAUGAAGUUGGAAUUGCUAGUAAUGACGUGUCAGCAAUA
This 799-nucleotide ribosomal RNA is filed under the name uncultured Chlamydiae bacterium. Its description in RNAcentral is "bacterial SSU rRNA". It matches the Rfam family "Bacterial small subunit ribosomal RNA", at positions 560 to 1357 of the family's 1533-position model. The record is from RNAcentral. Lineage: Bacteria; Pseudomonadati; Chlamydiota; Chlamydiia.